Molecule: ribosomal RNA, 253 nt
Filed under: uncultured prokaryote
Description: partial 16S ribosomal RNA
Rfam family: Bacterial small subunit ribosomal RNA
Source: RNAcentral
GACGAACUGUCCUAACGUUGUUCGGAAUCACUGGGCUUAAAGGGCGCGUAGGCGGUCCAACAAGUCAGGGGUGAAAUCCUGCAGCUCAACUGUAGCAGUGCCUUUGAUACUGUUGGUCUCGAGGGAGAUAGGGGUGUGCGGAACUUCCAGUGGAGCGGUGAAAUGCGUUGAUAUUGGAAGGAACGCCGGUGGCGAAAGCGGCGCACUGGAUCUCUUCUGACGCUGAGGCGCGAAAGCUAGGGGAGCAAACGGG